RNAcentral lists this long non-coding RNA (487 nucleotides) under Calidris pygmaea (Spoon-billed sandpiper). Its description in RNAcentral is "lncRNA (ENSCPGG00000019490.1)". The record is from RNAcentral. Lineage: Eukaryota; Metazoa; Chordata; Aves; Charadriiformes; Scolopacidae.
UGCCGUGCUGAGCCCCUUCUCCCCCCAGCAGCCCCCACGCUGCCCUGACUCAUUGCCCCUUUCCUCCCCCCACCUAGGGUGACCCAGGGGAGCCGGGUGAGAAGGGGGAGCCGGGCCGAGCAGGCACCCCAGGGCAGACCGGGCUGCGUGGCAAGGAGGGAGAGCGUGGAGAGAAGGGUGAUGAAGGCACCCCGGUAAGUGAGGACCCCCUGGGACCACCGUUCCCCUCCUCACUGGGGAUGGGCCGAUGCACUCCCUCCUUCUCUCCCCACAGGGCGAAGCGGGUCUGCCUGGCAAACCUGGAGAGAGGGGUCCCCGGGGUCUCCCUGGCUACCGCGGCCCCGCCGGGGAGAAGGGUGACUCAGGGGACCCAGGUCCUGAAGGCAGGAACGUGAGUACCACCUUGCGUGCACCCACUGCCCUGUGGGCACCCACCACCCCAUUGCCCUGCACCCACCCUUACCCCAGGGGUACCCUCUAACCCACG